Pelobates cultripes (western spadefoot toad) is the source of this 373-nucleotide non-coding RNA. Lineage: Eukaryota; Metazoa; Chordata; Amphibia; Anura; Pelobatidae. The record is from the annotation of a GenBank genome assembly.
AUUCGAAAAAACGAACACGUGGCGGCGGGCAUUUUAAUUGAAGAUAUAGGAAGAUGAAUUAAUUCAGCUGAAGUUUUUACUGAAGUUUUUACCUUCUCCAGACUUCAACUCAUUCGACAAUUCGAACGCCUUUCGACAAUUCGAACGAAUAUGACUUCCAGGGGGCGUGGCCUGGCAGCUCAUGGACACGGACAUGUGAGCCGUCAGCUCCGAUGAGGGUAGCUAGAAAAGCAGCGACUACAACCACAAUACUUACCCGAUUAGAGAUAUUCUAUUACCCCUGGGAAGCCGAACACCAUCAUGUCCCAGAGGGCACCUAAAAAAGCGAAAAUGUGACCAGCAGCACUCCAAAUCUCUUCACUAACACCUCCGC